UACGCUGUUAUCCCUAAAGUAACUUCAACUUAUAAUCUCUACAAAAGGAUCAAUUAAACAACUAAAAAUAAUUAUUUCAAUUCACUAACAGUUACAUUUUAUAUUCUCGUCGCCCCAACGUAACAAAAUAAGCCUGGUUUAUUUUAAUACAACAACUUAAAAACCAACUUUCUAUGUCAAGUUUUAUAGGGUCUUAUCGUCCCCCCAACACAUUUAAGCCUUUUCACUUAAAAGUUAAAUUCAAUUUUUACAAUAAAGACAGACAGCUUCUUGUCCAACCAUUCAUUCCAGCCCUCAAUUAAAAG
RNAcentral lists this ribosomal RNA (305 nucleotides) under Nematocarcinus tenuirostris. RNAcentral's name for it is "partial 16S ribosomal RNA". The record is from RNAcentral. Lineage: Eukaryota; Metazoa; Arthropoda; Malacostraca; Decapoda; Nematocarcinidae.